This 1791-nucleotide long non-coding RNA is filed under the name Rattus norvegicus (Norway rat). Its description in RNAcentral is "long non-coding RNA NONRATT024376". The record is from RNAcentral. Lineage: Eukaryota; Metazoa; Chordata; Mammalia; Rodentia; Muridae.
CAGCUGCACAAGCUGAGGUGUAGGCCUGUACUACCACACACAGCCUGAUUUUAAAAUAAAAUAAACGUAAAGACUAAUUUCUAUACUUGUCAUGGAAAUGUACAUUUUAGGGGUUUUGUAGGUUUUUGGUUUGUUUUUUUUUUUUUAAGGGAUGUCAAGAAAAGCGAAGACAUUAUAUAUGGUGGAUUCUUUUACUGUAACGUGUUAACAUUGCUUCCAUUUUGAAGCUGUGGUCUUGUCCUUAGCCAGUGUGACUUACGACUGGCACAGAUGUUGCACACUUGCAGCUCAAGUUGAAAUAGGGGCCAUGUAGGCUUUAGUGUGUGUGUGUGUGUGUGUGUGUGUGUGUGUGUGUGUGUGUGUGUGUGUGUGUGUGUGUGAGUACACGUACUGGAGGCCAGAGGUUACAUAAGGCAGACAGCCUCUUCCUCUGCUCUUGUACUUAUGUUUGACACUGGGACUCUACCCCAGAACUCAGUAGCUAGCUGACCAGUAAGGUCCAAGGCUCUGCUUGUUCCCACCUCCCUUCUAGUGCUGAAGUUACAGGUGCAGGCCGCCAUGUGGGUGCUGGGGUCCCAGGUGGGCCUGCGCUUGUGAGAUAACACCGUCUUUGCCAGCUGAGCUAACUAACUCCCUAGGCCAGAUCUUUCUUAAAGAUGUAUGUAUGUAUGUAUUUAUUUAUUUAUUUAUUUAUUUAUUUAUUUAUUUAUUUAUUUAUUUAUUUGAGUACACUGUAGAUGUCUUCAGACACCAGAAGGAAGAGGGCAUCGGAUCCCAUUACAGAUGGUUGUGAGCCACCAUGUGGUUGCUGGGAAUUGAACUCAGGACUUGUGGAAGAGCAGUCAGUGCUCUUAACUACUGAGCCAGCUCUCCAGCCCUCUUUGGGUUUUUUUGUUUGUUUGUUUGUUUGUUUGUUUGUUUGUUUUGUUUUUAAUAAUUGUGUGAAGGCGUCUGCACCAAGCCUGGCGGCCUGCCUUUUCCCCCUGGAACCUAUAGAGUAGAGGUAGAGGAGCAGAUCCCUGUGAACUGUCCUCUGACCUCCAUACACAUGUGCACACACAUGUAAAUGAGAGUUAAAGAGAGACCAGCUGGUGGCUUGUUAAAAUAAAUACUUUUAGUUUAAACUGUGCUUUUUGCUCUAGUGUUCUUUAGUGCACUGAGCUGUUACAUUUAUUCUGUGUUAGAGUAACCACGCCUCUCUAACACUAGGACACAGGAGUUGACAGGCUUGGUGCUGACCACAGAAGUUAAACUAAAUGUGCUCAAAGUGUUAAGAUUACUUUUUGGAGUUUAAUGAACACCAGGCUAGGGGUUACUUUCUGAAGGAUUAACUUGGUGUUUUUAACAUUUAGGCGGAAUGUAAUUGAAGCCGUUUACAAUAGACUGAACCCUUACAAAAACGACGACACUGAUUCUGCGUCAACUGAUGAUAUGUGGUAAAGCUGCUCAUCUAGCCAUGGUUUCACCUUUGCCUCCAAGGGAGAGAGAUCAGCGCAUCCUUGCUGAGCCUUUAACAUCCAUCACCGACUUAAGGAAGGGGUCCGACAUGGGUGAGGGACUACAGCUUCAGCGAUGGAACAGCCAGCCCAGAAUGGAUUUUUUUUUUUUUUUAUUGUAAAUUUGAGACUUAUGUAAGCGUGAUUUCAAACCGUAAUUCAUGUUGUAAAUCAGACUCCAGCAAUUUUUGUUGUAUGAUUUUGGUUUUUUGUAAAGUGUAAUUGUCCUUGUACAAAGUGCUCAUAUUUAAUUAUGAACUGCUUUAAAAUCACUAUCAAUGAUAAAGGAAAUUUG